AGGACUUAGUGGCGAACGGGUGAGUAACACGUAGGUAACCUGCCCAUGUACCCGGGAUAACAAAGGGAAACGUUUGCUAAAACCGGAUGAAUAAAUAGGAGGCAUCUCCUAAUUAUAAAAGCACCUAUGGGUGUGGACAUGGAUGGACUUGCGGCGUAUUAGCCAGUUGGCGGGGUAACGGCCCACCAAAGCGAUGAUACGUAGCCGGCCUGAGAGGGUAAACGGCCACACUGGGACUGAGACACGGCCCAGACUCCUACGGAAGGCAGCAG
Molecule: ribosomal RNA, 272 nt
Filed under: uncultured bacterium
Lineage: Bacteria
Description: partial 16S ribosomal RNA
Rfam family: Bacterial small subunit ribosomal RNA
Source: RNAcentral